This 72-nucleotide transfer RNA is filed under the name Dermacentor andersoni. Its description in RNAcentral is "transfer RNA tryptophan (anticodon CCA)". It matches the Rfam family "tRNA". From Rfam's summary of the family: Transfer RNA (tRNA) molecules are approximately 80 nucleotides in length. Their secondary structure includes four short double-helical elements and three loops (D, anti-codon, and T loops). Lineage: Eukaryota; Metazoa; Arthropoda; Arachnida; Ixodida; Ixodidae. The record is from RNAcentral.
AACUCUGUGGCGCAACGGUAGCGCGUUUGACUCCAGAUCAGAAGGUUGCGUGUUCAAAUCACGUCCGGGUCA